ACGAACGCUGGCGGCAUGCCUAACACAUGCAAGUCGAACGAGACCUUCGGGUCUAGUGGCGCACGGGUGCGUAACGCGUGGGAACCUGCCCUUAGGUUCGGAAUAACUCCCCGAAAGGGGUGCUAAUACCGGAUAAUGUCUUCGGACCAAAGAUUUAUCGCCUUUGGAUGGGCCCGCGUUGGAUUAGCUAGUUGGUAGGGUAAAAGCCUACCAAGGCGACGAUCCAUAGCUGGUCUGAGAGGAUGAUCGGCCACACUGGGACUGAGACACGGCCCAGACUCCUACGGGAGGCAGCAGUGGGGAAUAUUGGACAAUGGGCGAAAGCCUGAUCCAGCAAUGCCGCGUGAGUGAUGAAGGCCUUAGGGUUGUAAAGCUCUUUUACCCGGGAUGAUAAUGACAGUACCGGGAGAAUAAGCUCCGGCUAACUCCGUG
This 432-nucleotide ribosomal RNA is filed under the name uncultured bacterium. RNAcentral's name for it is "partial 16S ribosomal RNA". It matches the Rfam family "Bacterial small subunit ribosomal RNA", at positions 29 to 507 of the family's 1533-position model. The record is from RNAcentral.